UAAGGUCUCUUCAAUGCACUGAAAGUAAAUUUAAAGGUGCCUUUUAAUGCCACAGUUUCAAUGGAAAUUGUUUGGGAUCUUUCCUAUUCGCUCUACAUUCUGAAAAGGCCCAUAUGGGGAUAUAAGGCAUUUUUUUGCUGCACAACCUUUCAGUACAAAAUUUGCAUAGCGUAGCAGAAUAGCAUUGGUGGGACAUUGAUAUUGUAACAUGGUUUUGCUUGGCACCAAACAUUAUUUCAACUCUUGCUAGAAAUGUCUAAUGUAUUUCUCAUUUAUUCUCACAGCAAGAACCACAACCACGCACACCACCACAACACACUCCACAAAAUGUUUCUGUCGUCAUGGUAGAAACCAUUACAGACCAGGUCAAAGAAUAAGUAGUGAAAGCAGUGAAAGCGAUGGACUGUGCUGGAAUAUUGACUGUGCUGACAAUUGUCAGACUACAACAACUAAAGGGCCUUGUGAAUCGACAUCAUCGAAAA
Long non-coding RNA from Xenopus laevis (African clawed frog), 482 nucleotides. RefSeq lists it as uncharacterized. NCBI's taxonomy places the organism in Eukaryota, Metazoa, Chordata, Amphibia, Anura, Pipidae. The transcript is spliced from 2 exons. The record is from RefSeq and is a predicted model, not a curated record.